Molecule: ribosomal RNA, 397 nt
Filed under: Acanthamoeba sp.
Lineage: Eukaryota; Discosea; Longamoebia; Acanthamoebidae
Description: SSU rRNA
Rfam family: Eukaryotic small subunit ribosomal RNA
Source: RNAcentral
AAAAUUAGAGUGUUCAAAGCAGGCAGAUCCAAUUUUCUGCCACCGAAUACAUUAGCAUGGGAUAAUGGAAUAGGACCCUGUCCUCCUAUUUUCAGUUGGUUUUGGCAGCGCGAGGACUAGGGUAAUGAUUAAUAGGGAUAGUUGGGGGCAUUAAUAUUUAAUUGUCAGAGGUGAAAUUCUUGGAUUUAUGAAAGAUUAACUUCUGCGAAAGCAUCUGCCAAGGAUGUUUUCAUUAAUCAAGAACGAAAGUUAGGGGAUCGAAGACGAUCAGAUACCGUCGUAGUCUUAACCAUAAACGAUGCCGACCAGCGAUUAGGAGACGUUGAAUACAAAACACCACCAUCGGUGCGGUCGUCCUUGGCGUCGGUCUUUCGGGGCCGGCGCGGGACGGCUUAGC